This 399-nucleotide transfer-messenger RNA is filed under the name uncultured Prevotella sp. It matches the Rfam family "transfer-messenger RNA". From Rfam's summary of the family: Bacterial tmRNA, also known as 10Sa RNA or SsrA, is named for its dual tRNA and mRNA-like properties. Its role is to liberate the mRNA from a stalled ribosome. To accomplish this part of the tmRNA is used as a reading frame that ends in a translation stop signal. Lineage: Bacteria; Pseudomonadati; Bacteroidota; Bacteroidia; Bacteroidales; Prevotellaceae. The record is from RNAcentral.
GGGGUUGACUGGAUUUGACAGCGGGUUGAGAUGGUACGUAAGCAUGCGGAGUGACGGCUGUAUACUCCAUAAUCCAUUCGGUCGACAAUUAAUUGGCAACAAUGAGUAUGCUCUCGCUGCCUAAUCGAAGUAUAGUAGAUUACCGGCUUAAUUCUCUUACAAGGUAGGAGAACGAGACGUCGCUCCAUGGAUGUAGUUCCGAAUCUUAUGGGCAAAGCGGCGCAGGCAAAUCGGAAAUAGCCAUUCUUGGCUCCGCAAGGGUGGUGAAAUUUCAGGAGAUAAGGCUCCGGUUGGUGGUCCAGGUCUUGCCGUAGCACGAAAAUCAAAGUCUGGAAUAAGCAUGUAGAAAGCGUAUGGUUUCCUCGUUUGGACGUGGGUUCGAAUCCCACCAGCUCCACC